ACGAGUAGAGUGGCGCACGGGUGAGUAACGCGUAAGUUAAUCUACCUCGGCAUCUGGAAUAACUCACCGAAAGGUGUGCUAAUACCGGAUACGUUGAGUAAUCAAGAAAGGUGGCCUCUGCAUAUGCUACCGUGCUGGGAUGAGCUUGCGUACCAUUAGCUAGUUGGUAGGGUAAUGGCCUACCAAGGCGACGAUGGUUAGCGGGUCUGAGAGGAUGAUCCGCCACACUGGAACUGGAACACGGACCAGACUCCUACGGGAGGCAGCAGUGAGGAAUAUUGCGCAAUGGGGGGAAACCCUGACGCAGCGACGCCGCGUGGAUGAUGAAGGCCUUCGGGUCGUAAAAUCCUGUCAAGUGGAAAGAAGUGCAUAGUGGCUAAUAUCCAUUAUGUUUGACGGUACCACUGAAGGAAGCACCGGCUAACUCCGUGCCAGCAGCCGCGGUAA
RNAcentral lists this ribosomal RNA (447 nucleotides) under uncultured delta proteobacterium. Its description in RNAcentral is "bacterial SSU rRNA". It matches the Rfam family "Bacterial small subunit ribosomal RNA", at positions 86 to 523 of the family's 1533-position model. The record is from RNAcentral. Lineage: Bacteria; Deltaproteobacteria.